UGCUCGACGCCUGGAACUUUGACUCAACCUUAGUGUGCUGUGCGUAGGUGAGCAAAGUUUCAGGUGUUCGAGCGC
Enterobius vermicularis (human pinworm) is the source of this 75-nucleotide non-coding RNA. The record is from Rfam. NCBI's taxonomy places the organism in Eukaryota, Metazoa, Nematoda, Chromadorea, Rhabditida, Oxyuridae.